RNAcentral lists this unclassified non-coding RNA (337 nucleotides) under Hevea brasiliensis (rubber tree). Lineage: Eukaryota; Viridiplantae; Streptophyta; Magnoliopsida; Malpighiales; Euphorbiaceae. The record is from RNAcentral.
ACAAAAUAUAAUAUAUCCACACAAAAAUUAUAAUUCUAUGACAAUAAAUUAAUAGGCUAAAAUGAAUGUUUGGGAAUAAUUUCUAGAUAAAAAAAAAUAAUAUGCCUCAAUUAUAGUGUGAUCAUUUUGCUUUGUAUAUACAAUCUUUUUUUUUGGGAGAUAAUUUAUAAUAAUUGAGGCAAAUAUAAUCAUUUAAUAAUUAAAAACAAAUAAAAUGUGAUAAAUCUCAAAAUUAGAUAUUACGAAAAAACAAAAAAAAUCAACUGUUGAAAUCGAGAGGUUCAACCAAGCCGGAGGAAAAAGAAAAACAAAAAUUUUAUAAUAUUGUAAGAGUUCA